This 417-nucleotide RNase P RNA is filed under the name Hyphomicrobiales bacterium. RNAcentral describes it as "Rhizobiales bacterium (bioreactor metagenome) RNase P RNA component class A". It matches the Rfam family "Bacterial RNase P class A". From Rfam's summary of the family: Ribonuclease P (RNase P) is a ubiquitous endoribonuclease, found in archaea, bacteria and eukarya as well as chloroplasts and mitochondria. Its best characterised activity is the generation of mature 5'-ends of tRNAs by cleaving the 5'-leader elements of precursor-tRNAs. The record is from RNAcentral. Lineage: Bacteria; Pseudomonadati; Pseudomonadota; Alphaproteobacteria; Hyphomicrobiales.
UCAGUCGGCCGGACGGCCGCUCCGGCACCGGCCGAAAGGCCGCCGGGGAGGAAAGUCCGGGCUCCAUCGACAUACGGUGCCGGAUAACAUCCGGCGGGGGCGACCCCAGGGAAAGUGCCACAGAGAACGAACCGCCUGCCUUCGCCCUUUGGGCUUCGGCAGGUAAGGGUGAAAAGGUGCGGUAAGAGCGCACCGCGUCGCCGGCAACGGCAACGGCAUGGCAAACCACACCGGGAGCAAAACCGAAUAGGGACGGCGCAGCGGCUGGUUCGCGCAAGCGAUAACACCGCGAGAUCGUGUCGGAUCUGCCGUCCGGGUAGGUUGCUUGAGGCAAUGUGCAAACAUUGUCCCAGACGAAUGGCCGUCACGCAUCGUCCGUGCAAACGGACAGUGCCCUACAGAACCCGGCUUACAGGC